UGUCCGUAGGUGAACCUGCGGAAGGAUCAUUACAGAGUUCAUGCCCUCACGGGUAGAUCUCCCACCCUUGAAUAUUUAUACCUUAGUUGCUUUGGCAGGCCGUGGAAACACCAUGGGCUCCGGCUUAUGCGUGCCUGCCAGAGGAAACAAACUCUGUUUUUAGUGAUGUCUGAGUACUAUAUAAUAGUUAAAACUUUCAACAACGGAUCUCUUGGUUCUG
RNAcentral lists this unclassified non-coding RNA (220 nucleotides) under plant metagenome. RNAcentral describes it as "partial contains small subunit ribosomal RNA, internal transcribed spacer 1, and 5.8S ribosomal RNA". The record is from RNAcentral.